GAGCGCAACUGACGCUCAUGCUCGAAAGUGCGGGUAUCGAACAGGAUUAGAUACCCUGGUAGUCCGCACGGUAAACGAUGGAUGCCCGCUAUUUGUCCAUUAGGAUAAGUGGCCAAGUGAAAACGUUAAGCAUCCCACCUGGGGAGUACGCCGGCAACGGUGAAACUCAAAGGAAUUGACGGGGGCCCGCACAAGCGGAGGAACAUGUGGUUUAAUUCGAUGAUACGCGAGGAACCUUACCCGGGCUUGAAUUGUGAGAGAAGGAUCCAGAGAUGGUGACGCCCUUCGGGGCUCUCAUGAAGGUGCUGCAUGGUUGUCGUCAGCUCGUGCCGUGAGGUGUCGGCUUAAGUGCCAUAACGAGCGCAACCCCUCUCUUCAGUUGCCAUCAGGUUAAGCUGGGCACUCUGGAGACACUGCCACCGUAAGGUGUGAGGAAGGUGGGGAUGACGUCAAAUCAGCACGGCCCUUACGUCCGGGGCUACACACGUGUUACAAUGGGUGGUACAGAGAGUUGGGUGCCCGCAAGGUCACUCUAAUCAAUAAAUCCAUCCUCAGUUCGGACUGGGGUCUGCAACCCGACCCCACGAAGCUGGAUUCGCUA
This 601-nucleotide ribosomal RNA is filed under the name uncultured bacterium. Its description in RNAcentral is "bacterial SSU rRNA". It matches the Rfam family "Bacterial small subunit ribosomal RNA", at positions 732 to 1337 of the family's 1533-position model. The record is from RNAcentral.